RNAcentral lists this unclassified non-coding RNA (347 nucleotides) under soil metagenome. RNAcentral's name for it is "partial contains 5.8S ribosomal RNA, internal transcribed spacer 2, and large subunit ribosomal RNA". The stretch from base 1 to 120 matches the Rfam family "5.8S ribosomal RNA", at positions 35 to 154 of the family's 154-position model. The record is from RNAcentral.
GAUGAAGAACGUAGCGAAAUGCGAUAAGUAAUGUGAAUUGCAGAAUUCAGUGAAUCAUCGAAUCUUUGAACGCACAUUGCGCCCGCCAGUAUUCUGGCGGGCAUGCCUGUCUGAGCGUCAUUUCAACCCUCAUGCCCCUAGGGCGUGGUGUUGGGGAUCGGCCAAAGCCCGGGAGGGACGGCCGGCCCCUAAAUCUAGUGGCGGACCCGUCGUGGCCUCCUCUGCGAAGUAGUGAUAUUCCGCAUCGGAGAGCGACGAGCCCCUGCCGUUAAACCCCCAACUUUCCAAGGUUGACCUCAGAUCAGGUAGGAAUACCCGCUGAACUUAAGCAUACAAUAAGCGGAGGA